GUGGGGAAUAUUGGACAAUGGGCGAAAGCCUGAUCCAGCCAUGCCGCGUGUGUGAAGAAGGUCUUCGGAUUGUAAAGCACUUUAAGUUGGGAGGAAGGGCAGUAAGUUAAUACCUUGCUGUUUUGACGUUACCGACAGAAUAAGCACCGGCUAACUUCGUGCCAGCAGCCGCGGUAAUACGAAGGGUGCAAGCGUUAAUCGGAAUUACUGGGCGUAAAGCGCGCGUAGGUGGUGUUGUAAGUUGGAGGUGGAAGCCCCGGGCUCAACCUGGGAACUGCCUCCAAAACUGCAUGACUAGAGUACGGUAGAGGGUAGUGGAAUUUCCUGUGUAGCGGUGAAAUGCGUAGAUAUAGGAAGGAACACCAGUGGCGAAGGCGACUACCUGGACUGAUACUGACACUGAGGUGCGAAAGCGUGGGGAGCAAACAGGAUUAGAUACCCGAGUAGUCC
RNAcentral lists this ribosomal RNA (450 nucleotides) under uncultured bacterium. RNAcentral's name for it is "partial 16S ribosomal RNA". It matches the Rfam family "Bacterial small subunit ribosomal RNA", at positions 354 to 796 of the family's 1533-position model. The record is from RNAcentral.